This 400-nucleotide ribosomal RNA is filed under the name uncultured bacterium. RNAcentral's name for it is "bacterial SSU rRNA". It matches the Rfam family "Bacterial small subunit ribosomal RNA", at positions 356 to 773 of the family's 1533-position model. The record is from RNAcentral.
GGGGAAUAUUGCACAAUGGGGGAAACCCUGAUGCAGCAACGCCGCGUGAGCGAUGAAGGCCUUCGGGUUGUAAAGCUCUGUCUUCGCUGACGAUAAUGACGGUAAGCGAGGAGGAAGCCACGGCUAACUACGUGCCAGCAGCCGCGGUAAUACGUAGGUGGCAAGCGUUGUCCGGAAUUACUGGGCGUAAAGGAUGCGUAGGCGGAUAUUUAAGUGGGAUGUGAAGUCCUGGGGCUCAACUCCAGAACUGCAUUCCAAACUGGAUAUCUAGAGUGCAGGAGAUGAAAGUGGAAUUCCCAGUGUAGCGGUGAAAUGCGUAGAGAUUGGGAGGAACACCAGUGGCGAAGGCGACUUUCUGGACUGUAACUGACGCUGAGGCAUGAAAGUGUGGGGAGCAAAC